AUGCGCUCGCUUCGCAAGCUGGAGCAGCAACCGCUCCUGGACAAGCUGCGUGCCCGCCUUGCCUGUUGGAAGGCUAGGCUGCUGACCCUUGCGGGUAGACUGGUGCUUCUCAACUCGGUGCUGUUAGCGUCCACAGUCUACUGGCUGGCUGUGUUUGCCUUGCCACCUUGGGCGCGCAAGGAAAUCGAUCGGUUGCGCCGCGCAUGGCUAUGGCGUGGUGAGUAAACGUGCCAUGGGGGGCACUGCAAAGUGGCAUGGGGGCACGUCUGCCGACCACGGGAGUUGGGUGGUCUGGGCAUCAUCGACUUGGACCGGUUUGGGGUGGCCCUUCGCCCGUGA
Molecule: ribosomal RNA, 339 nt
Filed under: Triticum aestivum (bread wheat)
Lineage: Eukaryota; Viridiplantae; Streptophyta; Magnoliopsida; Poales; Poaceae
Description: partial small subunit ribosomal RNA
Source: RNAcentral